UAUUACAACAAAAACGAGCCUA
Molecule: non-coding RNA, 22 nt
Filed under: Rattus norvegicus (Norway rat)
Lineage: Eukaryota; Metazoa; Chordata; Mammalia; Rodentia; Muridae
Source: RNAcentral